This 1301-nucleotide ribosomal RNA is filed under the name Staphylococcus aureus. RNAcentral describes it as "partial 23S ribosomal RNA". It matches the Rfam family "Bacterial large subunit ribosomal RNA", at positions 1570 to 2873 of the family's 2925-position model. Lineage: Bacteria; Bacillati; Bacillota; Bacilli; Caryophanales; Staphylococcaceae. The record is from RNAcentral.
GAGAAGACAUUGUGUCUUCGAGUCGUUGAUUUCACACUGCCGAGAAAAGCCUCUAGAUAGAAAAUAGGUGCCCGUACCGCAAACCGACACAGGUAGUCAAGAUGAGAAUUCUAAGGUGAGCGAGCGAACUCUCGUUAAGGAACUCGGCAAAAUGACCCCGUAACUUCGGGAGAAGGGGUGCUCUUUAGGGUUAACGCCCAGAAGAGCCGCAGUGAAUAGGCCCAAGCGACUGUUUAUCAAAAACACAGGUCUCUGCUAAACCGUAAGGUGAUGUAUAGGGGCUGACGCCUGCCCGGUGCUGGAAGGUUAAGAGGAGUGGUUAGCUUCUGCGAAGCUACGAAUCGAAGCCCCAGUAAACGGCGGCCGUAACUAUAACGGUCCUAAGGUAGCGAAAUUCCUUGUCGGGUAAGUUCCGACCCGCACGAAAGGCGUAACGAUUUGGGCACUGUCUCAACGAGAGACUCGGUGAAAUCAUAGUACCUGUGAAGAUGCAGGUUACCCGCGACAGGACGGAAAGACCCCGUGGAGCUUUACUGUAGCCUGAUAUUGAAAUUCGGCACAGCUUGUACAGGAUAGGUAGGAGCCUUUGAAACGUGAGCGCUAGCUUACGUGGAGGCGCUGGUGGGAUACUACCCUAGCUGUGUUGGCUUUCUAACCCGCACCACUUAUCGUGGUGGGAGACAGUGUCAGGCGGGCAGUUUGACUGGGGCGGUCGCCUCCUAAAAGGUAACGGAGGCGCUCAAAGGUUCCCUCAGAAUGGUUGGAAAUCAUUCAUAGAGUGUAAAGGCAUAAGGGAGCUUGACUGCGAGACCUACAAGUCGAGCAGGGUCGAAAGACGGACUUAGUGAUCCGGUGGUUCCGCAUGGAAGGGCCAUCGCUCAACGGAUAAAAGCUACCCCGGGGAUAACAGGCUUAUCUCCCCCAAGAGUUCACAUCGACGGGGAGGUUUGGCACCUCGAUGUCGGCUCAUCGCAUCCUGGGGCUGUAGUCGGUCCCAAGGGUUGGGCUGUUCGCCCAUUAAAGCGGUACGCGAGCUGGGUUCAGAACGUCGUGAGACAGUUCGGUCCCUAUCCGUCGUGGGCGUAGGAAAUUUGAGAGGAGCUGUCCUUAGUACGAGAGGACCGGGAUGGACAUACCUCUGGUGUACCAGUUGUCGUGCCAACGGCAUAGCUGGGUAGCUAUGUGUGGACGGGAUAAGUGCUGAAAGCAUCUAAGCAUGAAGCCCCCCUCAAGAUGAGAUUUCCCAACUUCGGUUAUAAGAUCCCUCAAAGAUGAUGAGGUUAAUAGGUUCGAGGUGGAAG